UGGCUUAGAAAGUAUUUAAUGGUCAGUGGAAAAAAAUGAGGAAGAGGAGGGUGUGGCUGCCGCUUAGAGGAUCUGACCCUGCGAACGGGCACUGGCUUGUGGAGAUACAGUCCUUCAUCCUAAGAAAAUGAAGAUCUCUUUUAGCCGCCCAUUGUUACCGCCGGGCGCUGGCAGCCGGGGGCAGUUGUGGCAGGGGAGCGGCGACGGAGAAGCCGGCGCCGGUUGCUAGGAGACUGCAGAGCUGCAAGGUGAACACCACCGCCACCAGCACCACAUCGGCGGCUCCCCGAGGCUGGCUUUCCACCUUGCGCAGGG
Long non-coding RNA from Dryobates pubescens (Downy woodpecker), 315 nucleotides. RefSeq lists it as uncharacterized. The transcript is spliced from 3 exons. Lineage: Eukaryota; Metazoa; Chordata; Aves; Piciformes; Picidae. The record is from RefSeq and is a predicted model, not a curated record.